CCGGCGGAGGCGUGUGCGUGCGCAGCGCUGUGGUAACUGCUGUCGCCGGCAACGCCACACAAGGGUGGGGCCUCAACUGGGUGGGCGGCGGGUUUUCCCUCCUUAUCGGGCCAGCCAGGGGGAAACCGAAUCCACGGGAGACCCUCGCUGCCGGAGGUCAUCACAGAGAAUGAAUCAAGAAACGGGUGGACCGUGGAGAUCAAACCACCCCCCUUGAUCCAGCCAUUUAAGUGGUCCUCUCUGCCUUUGCCAUAAGAUGCCAAGAUGACCCAGCAUAAGGAAAUUAGCUUCUGCUUUCCUUACUGGACAUGCCUGUAAAUUACUGGAUGCAUGUCUGAAAAAAAACUCAUGCUGGAAGCUGGUGGCAUUCACACAUCCUUGCAAAGAGGAAUUAAAAAGCAACAUGCCUCUCUGGGAGAGGAUAACUGCAUUUUAGAGAAGUUCAUGCAGAGAAAAGGAAGAUCUCAACUGACUUCAUUGUAUGAUUUUGGGAGGAUACACUAA
This 504-nucleotide long non-coding RNA is filed under the name Apteryx rowi (Okarito brown kiwi). Its description in RNAcentral is "lncRNA (ENSARWG00000018425.1)". Lineage: Eukaryota; Metazoa; Chordata; Aves; Apterygiformes; Apterygidae. The record is from RNAcentral.